AACGCAUCUUGCGCUCUUUGGUAUUCCAAAGGGCAUGCCUGUUUGAGUGUCAUUAAAUUCUCAAAGCAUUUGCUUUUGCAAUUGCUUUGGAUUUGAAGAUUGCUGGCUAAGGUCAGCUUCUUUGAAAUGCAUAAGUGGGUCUUUGCUGGAUCAACAUAGAUGUGAUAAGGUCAUCAUCUGAGAUUUAGACAACCUACUACAACCAUUAUUACUACUUGAUAUUUGACCUCAAAUCAGGUAAGACUACCCGCUGAACUUAA
Molecule: unclassified non-coding RNA, 260 nt
Filed under: uncultured fungus
Lineage: Eukaryota; Fungi
Description: sequence contains ITS2
Rfam family: 5.8S ribosomal RNA (bases 1-52)
Source: RNAcentral